Molecule: transfer RNA, 82 nt
Filed under: Candidatus Carsonella ruddii
Lineage: Bacteria; Pseudomonadati; Pseudomonadota; Gammaproteobacteria; Oceanospirillales; Halomonadaceae
Also listed under: 1 other name
Description: tRNA-Ser
Rfam family: tRNA
About the family: Transfer RNA (tRNA) molecules are approximately 80 nucleotides in length. Their secondary structure includes four short double-helical elements and three loops (D, anti-codon, and T loops). Further hydrogen bonds mediate the characteristic L-shaped molecular structure. tRNAs have two regions of fundamental functional importance: the anti-codon, which is responsible for specific mRNA codon recognition, and the 3' end, to which the tRNAs corresponding amino acid is attached (by aminoacyl-tRNA synthetases). tRNAs cope with the degeneracy of the genetic code in two manners: having more than one tRNA (with a specific anti-codon) for a particular amino acid; and 'wobble' base-pairing, i.e. permitting non-standard base-pairing at the 3rd anti-codon position.
Source: RNAcentral
AGAGAAAUGGCUGAGUGGUUUAUAGCACUCCUCUGCUAAAGGAGUAUAGAUUCUAUCGUAGGUUCGAAUCCUACUUUCUCUA